CCUACGGGAGGCAGCAGUAGGGAAUAUUGCUCAAUGGGGGAAACCCUGAAGCAGCAACGCCGCGUGGGGGAUGAAGGUUUUCGGAUUGUAAACUCCUUUUGUUAGAGAAGAUAAUGACGGUAUCUAACGAAUAAGCACCGGCUAACUCCGUGCCAGCAGCCGCGGUAAUACGGAGGGUGCAAGCGUUACUCGGAAUCACUGGGCGUAAAGAGCGCGUAGGCGGGAUAGCAAGUCAGAUGUGAAAUCCUAGGGCUUAACCAUAGAACUGCAUUUGAAACUGUUAUUCUAGAGUAUGUGAGAGGUAGGUGGAAUUCUGGGUGUAGGGGUAAAAUCCGUAGAGAUCAAGAGGAAUACUCAUUGCGAAGGCGACCUGCUAGAACAUAACUGACGCUGAUGCGCGAAAGCGUGGGGAGCAAACAGGAUUAGAUACCCUAGUAGUC
Molecule: ribosomal RNA, 440 nt
Filed under: uncultured bacterium
Lineage: Bacteria
Description: partial 16S ribosomal RNA
Rfam family: Bacterial small subunit ribosomal RNA
Source: RNAcentral